UCUACGCAGCACACUUUACUUUACAGCUGUGCUAUUUUGUCCUUGUACAGGUACUUUGUUGUUGUUGACGAUAUAUGGGACGUGGAUAGAUGGGAUAUUAUUAAGCAUGCAUUCCCCGCUACAAGUUCUACCAGUAGAAUAAUCACCACCACUCGUAUGAAUAGUGUGGCUCAUUUAUGUUCUUCAUCAUUCAAUGGUCAUGUUUACAAUAUAAGGGCUCUUGAUAUGGUGCACUCAAGACAGUUAUUUUACACAAGAUUAUUUAAGUCCGAUGAAGAUUUCCCUUCAUACCUUCAAGAAAUUUCUGAGCAGAUAUUGGAAAAAUGCGAUGGGUUACCUUUGGCGAUCAUUGCUAUAUCUGGUUUGUUGGCAAACACAGAAAGAACAGAAAAUAUAUGGAAUCAAGUAAAAGAUUCAAUUGGCCGUGCACUUGAAAGGAAUCCCAGCAUCGAAGGAAUGAUGAAGAUUUUGUCACUUAGUUACUUUGAUCUUGCUGCUUAUCUAAAAACUUGCCUCUUAUACCUAAGCAUAUAUCUAGAAGAUUCUACUAUUGAGAAGAAUGGCCUGAUAAGAAGAUGGAUUGCUGAAAAAUUCAUUCAUAGCGAUGGUAGAUACACGGCAUAUGAGUUCGGAGAAAGGUAUUUUAGUGAACUACUUAAUAGAGGUUUGAUCCAACCUGGAGAGACAAAUAGAUAUGGCAAGGUGAAGAGUUGUCAUGUUCAUGACACAAUUCUUGAUUUCAUCAUAUCCAAAUCAAUAGAAGAGAACUUUGUUUCUUUACUUGGCGUUCCCAUUCUGACAAUUGGGAAUCAAAGCAAAGUUAUUCGUCGACUCUGUCUACAAGGUGUAACAGAAGGAAAUUCAACAGUACUGACAGCAGGUCUUGUGUUGUCCCAUGUCCGAUCACUUAUUGCGGUUAGAGGUCUGUUGGAAAUCCCUUCUUUGAAGGAGUUCAGGCAUCUGCGUGUUCUCCACUUGAUGGAUUGCUCCGAAUUCAAAGAUCAUCAUCUUGAAAAUAUAGUGAGGUUGUUCCAGCUGAGGUACCUGAAUCUCAGAGGUACAGGAAUAAGCAAGCUCCCAGAACAAAUUGGUCGUUUAGGAUGCUUAGAGGUGCUGGACCUAAGAAAGACUUAUGUAAAGGAAUUACCUGCAUCUAUUGUGAAUCUCAGAAAAUUGAUGCAUCUACUUGUUGAUGGUGUUGUUUUUCCUGAUGGGAUUGCAAAGAUGAAAGCACUAGAGACGUUGAAAGAUGUCGAUGCCUCCAUUCAGCCAUUAGACUUCCUAUGCGGCCUUGGUCAACUAAUGAAUUUGAGGAAUCUGCGGCUUGCCCUUGAUUUCGAAUUUGAUUCUGACACUGAGGAACAAAAAAAAGCUCUUGUCUCCUCCCUGCGUAAGCUAGGCACCCGGAAUCUCCGCUCCCUGACUAUUGGGCACCUCUUACAUGAGGAAUCUUUGUGCCUGCCUACCCUUGAGGACCUUUCUAUUCGUUUUUCGGCCUUCCCACAGGUUCUGACAUGGGUUGGUUCCCUCAGAAACCUCCAACGGCUGUGCCUUAUUGUGGAGGGGCUCAAGCAGGACGACCUCUGCACCCUUGGGGCUUUACCCAGUCUGCUCGUUUUGUAUCUGGUGGAACCUCCCUUGAUGACAUGGUCAAACGGAAAGCUCAGAUUCAGUGGUGAAGUUGGGUUCCGAUUCUUGAAGAUUUUUAUUUAUCAUGCACGUUAUGGAUCAUUAGAUCUGAUGUUCGGGGCAGGGUCAAUGCCAAAGCUAGAAAAACUCGAGCUUAAAAAGUUCUGCAUAGAUGAAGCAAACUCUCUCGGCUUUGGAAUUGAGAACCUCCUUUGCCUCACCAGUGUCAAAUGCAUUAAGGUUACUGGUGAUGAUGGCAUAGUUGAAGUCGUCAAGACUGCCAUGGAGAGAGCAGCCAGCAAACAUCCCAACCACCCAAGUCUACUCUUUCAGAAAUUACGCUGA
Molecule: ribosomal RNA, 1974 nt
Filed under: Triticum aestivum (bread wheat)
Lineage: Eukaryota; Viridiplantae; Streptophyta; Magnoliopsida; Poales; Poaceae
Description: partial small subunit ribosomal RNA
Source: RNAcentral